RNAcentral lists this small nuclear RNA (102 nucleotides) under Macaca mulatta (Rhesus monkey). Lineage: Eukaryota; Metazoa; Chordata; Mammalia; Primates; Cercopithecidae. The record is from RNAcentral.
GUGCUCACUUCGGCAGCACAUAUACUAAAACUGGAACGAUACAAAGAAGAUUAGCAUGGCCCCUGUGCAAGGAUGACACGCAAAUUCAUGAAGCAUAUUUUU